This 897-nucleotide ribosomal RNA is filed under the name uncultured euryarchaeote. Its description in RNAcentral is "bacterial SSU rRNA". It matches the Rfam family "Archaeal small subunit ribosomal RNA", at positions 85 to 804 of the family's 1478-position model. Lineage: Archaea; Methanobacteriati; Methanobacteriota. The record is from RNAcentral.
ACUGCUCACUAACACGUCAAUAAUCUAACUUUAGGUCUUGGAUAACCUCGGAAAACUGAGACUAACACAAGAUAGGGGAAAUUACUGCAAUGUUUUUUCUCUGAAACUCGUGCCUAAAGAUGAGUUGGCGGCCGAUUACGUAGUUGGUAAGGUAACGGCUUACCAAGCCGAAGAUCGGUAAGGGCCUUGAGAGAGGUUGCCCUGAGAAGGACACUGAAAUACUGGUCCUAGCCCUACGGGGUGCAGCAGGCGCGAAAACUCUACACUACACGAAAGUGUGAUAGGGGAACUCCAAGUGCAUUACUUUUUGUAAUGCUUUUGCCAAGAUUAAAAAUCUUGGCGAAUAAGUGGUGGGUAAGACUGGUGCCAGCCGCCGCGGUAACACCAGCGCCACAAGUGGUGAUCACAUUUAUUGGGCCUAGAGCGUCCGUAGCCGGCCUUGUAAAUCUUUUGUGAAAUUGUUAGGCUUAACUUAACAACGUGCAUAAGACACUGCAAGGCUUGGAACUGGGAGGGGUUAGGAGUAUUCUUGGGGUAACGGUAAAACACGUUCACCAACGUUCACUUGCUGUGAACGCUGGCGCGUUUACAGUGUUAUAAUCCUUACAAGACUACCUGUGGCGAAUGCGCCUAACCAGAACAGAUUCGACGGUGAGGGACGAAAGCUAGGGGAGCAAAACGGAUUAUAUCGACCUUUUGCAAAAACGUCGAUGAAAAGCAUGCAAUGUGGAAUCUGAAGAUUCCACGGAACGAUUACUCUUUGCUUAUAUGAACUACGAGUAAUUUGUGUGUGAUUUAGCGAAUAAAAUGGCACAAGAUGUCCUAAAUACCCGAGUAGUCCUAGCUGUAACGCUGUGAGCAAGAUGUUGCAUAUUCUUAGUGAAUAUGCAGUGCCGA